UAUUAUGCAAAUGGCUUGUCAUCAAUCGGGGAUGUGGCUGCUCCUCCCUAUAAAUGGGCCAAAGGGGGGCAGUGGGAGUCAGAGUGUUGGACAGGGGAGAUAGGAGGAGGUGGCGGAGGAGGAGGUGGUGGUGGAGGAGGAGGAGAAGGUGGCGGAGGAGGAGGCGGUGGAGGAGGAGGCCAAGGAGGAGGUUUGCUCAGCUACAGCAAGCCAUGGGAUUUUUGCUGUUUAAACUUUUAACUCCUUGA
RNAcentral lists this long non-coding RNA (248 nucleotides) under Anas platyrhynchos platyrhynchos (common mallard). RNAcentral's name for it is "lncRNA (ENSAPLG00000018244.1)". The record is from RNAcentral. Lineage: Eukaryota; Metazoa; Chordata; Aves; Anseriformes; Anatidae.